RNAcentral lists this long non-coding RNA (25958 nucleotides) under Coffea arabica (coffee). RNAcentral's name for it is "long non-coding RNA (CARA_LNC005184)". The record is from RNAcentral. Lineage: Eukaryota; Viridiplantae; Streptophyta; Magnoliopsida; Gentianales; Rubiaceae.
GACAAUUUGGAGCGGAUUGCUGAAUGUUAUCAGGAAGCUGGGCUCCAUGAAAUUGCCAAAUUUGUGCUAUACAGAAAUUGAACUGAAGUUGAUUUUGGCAUAUGCAUAUCUUGCUUUCAUGUACAUUUCCAAUUUUGUAAUCUGCCGUCGCCUACAAUUCCGGAAUUACAUCCGAAGAUGAUAUUUUGGAUUUAUGCUAUGACGUUGAUUAUAACAUUCAAUUGAAUUCAAGACCAAGUUUCUGUGUCUUCCCAAGUCAACUGCACAAGCAGGCCUUUGGCUCUGAGUUCUGCAAAAGUCCUAAAACCACUUAUAGAGAGCAAACUCUCUCUUUCUCCGAUGACCAACUUAAGAUUUGAAUACUCUCUUCGGUGAAUGCUCUAUCCUUGCAAGUUCUUGUGUUGAACAUAGAUGAUCUGAAUUAUUCCUCCUCUCAAAAUUGCUGUAUUCUUGGUAAAAUAAAAAAAUUUAAUUCUAAUUCAAUUGAAAUGUAUUCUUUUGAAUUUAUAUACAACAGAAGUAACAAAGAUACACCCACCAUCUCUCUCACACACAGAUAUGCAAGGCAAAAAUCACACUGUAGUAUUCUAGCCAAAAAAAUUAAACCAAUUUUCACUGUUACUGGAUUCCGCCCCUUCAGUUUCAGCAUUAGUCCAGCUUAUGAAACUAUUUUCUUGCAACUGCCGUUUCUCCCUCUCCUUAACAGCUUCUUUAGCAAUCCUCCACUUCCCCUUUUCUUACUGGGAACAAUAGCCAAAGAACCAAUCUCAGCUUCAUUAUUUGAAUAAUUAACACCAUUUGAACUUGCCACUUUCUCUGGAGGUUCUAUUGUCCAAUUCGGGCCAAAGACAGAAUAGCUAUUACCCUCUAGAAUAAUUUCCUUGGUUUUAGGAGACUUGAGAUCCUCGGUCUCAUAUUUGUCUUCAGCUAGCAUUUUAUCUAGGAGAGAUGACCGCUGGCGAGUAUUCUUCUUAGGAGUUGUCAUGGUCGCAACAACAGGAUUAGAAGGGCUAGAGACGACCUUAUCAAAAAGGGCAGCCUCCAUGGGUGAAGCCAAUGCCUUUAACUGCUUCCCCAAGUUUAAGAUAGUUUCUUGGCAUUCCGCCAGCUUUUCUGAAGCUGCUACAAUCUCCCAAUCCUACAAAUUCAAAGCAACAAAGGAAAUUCAUGAAUCACGAUAUUUUCCAGUUUAUUACUAGGAGAGAAAUGACUGAGUAAAGAUUAUGCCACCAUCUAUGAAUUACGGAAAGAUCUCAAAACAGUUCAACAAGCUAACUUAAUCUUACUCCUAUUUACUGCUGUUGCGUUGGACAGAAUAAGAGCUCUCAUAAUGUUUACGAGGUUGCCAAGCUCAACCCAAUUAUGAGAAGGAAAACCAGAAAGAGAACUAAACAUAGAAAUCUGUUAUUCUCAAUGAGAUUGCUGCAAGAACACUUAUAAUUUAUUUUUCUUUUUGAAAUUCUAGUAACUCUGGACAUGCUUUUGAUUUUCAUCUUUUCUGCUUCUAUAAUACUGGUCCAAGAAGUUACAGGGUCUCACCAUUUUGACUACAGUUAUCCGAAAAGAUGACAUCAAAAGACUCCUUAAAACUUACACACACACACACACACACACUUGAUGACCUUUCCAACUUGUUAACUUGCAAUAACUUAUCUAUCAGUGCAGAAGUCCUAAAUACUUUCAGAGAAAGCUCAUGUAAGUUAAGAUAAUUACAAGACACAAUCAUCAUUUCUGAGGGUAGGAACUUACAGUUCGAAGUUCUCUUCCAUGGUUGGCAAUACCAUCAACAGUUCCCUUUUCAACCAUGCUGCAAAUUGCACAUUUCACAACUCUGAGAGGCCCUACAAGUAAUAAUUUCUCACAUUAAAGGAAAAAAAAUGUUGUACCUUUCCAUGGGAAGCUCUUGAUCGUCAUAUGUCCCAUUCAAUUUUUGACAAGAACUUUUUUGGUUUGGCAGCUCCUUCUCUGUAUACAUGAGGUUUUCGCAAGCUUCCUUCAAUUCAUUUUUGGUCUCCAUGAGCUGUCUCUCAAGCGCUUCCUUUACCUGCUUAUGCUUUUGGUUUUGAUGACUUGUUUUUUCCUUCAUGGGCUUAGGAGAUUCUACCUCCACCUGCAAAGUCUUGCUUGUUUUAUUUGAUUCCUGAAGUUGAUUAAUCAGGGAUUCAUUCUUAAUAGCCUCUAAUUGGAGUCUCCCUUCGAAAUCAUUCUCUGCUGAUUCUUUAUUCGGCAAUUCAUCUUUCAACCUUCUAAAUUCUUUUCUAAAAUUAGGCAGAACUUCUUCAACUUGAAAAUGACUGUGCUCAUCGUUUGAAGCAGAAACAAGGGGCAAGGUGCACUUCUCUCCAUUUUGGAUGUUCAAUUUGUUGGACUCUGAGACAUGAUUAGUUGCUCCACUAUCAGCUUCACUUUCGCUUCUUGAUUCAUCCCAAUCAAAAUAACUUCUGAUUGCAUCCUUCAUGCUUGAAACAUCUUGAAGAGAAAAGCAAUGGUUCAUGAUCCAUUCCAAAGUACAUGCUAAUUGUUCCGCAAAUGUUUCAAGACCAGACUUUCCAUUUAACAAAUCACUGCAAGUCUGAACAAACUGCUUUAAAGUGGUUGAGAGUUCAGAAGCUUUCCACUGAAACACACGACCAAUAUAGCCUGUAGGAGUCUCUGUAUCCUUAAAAUGUAAUAAAUUGUCAUAGUUUCUUGACAACACCUCUGUGUUACCAUUAUCCAGGGGUGGAAUACUGAUCCCUUCAAUGAGUUCAAUGAUCUUAUGUAACGAUUUGUUUAAAUUAAGCUGCACUUUCUGGCUGCUCUUUGUUGCUGUAGUAUUGCAAGUUCCUUUGUCAGAAGAAUCUUCCUCUAGAACAUUACUAGAUCUCUCAGACAUGUCUUUUGUGACACAUAAAGCAUCAUCUUGAUUUGAGCUUUCCUUUUUGUCAGUGAGCUGAAAAUUUGGAUGACAGAAUUGUGGCAAACCAGCUUUGAUCUCAUCAAGUAUUUCAUUUGGUUUUCUCUUCAACACUUGGCUUUGCUCCAAAACAAUUUGUAUUAUGCUUUCGAACAAAAUAUGAGCUUUAUUCGGUGAUACAUUUUGAGACAGGAUUUGGUGGCUGGGCACUGAUAGGUUAGACAGAUGACAUACUGGAAUCAUUGCACCAUUAGGCUGAGUUCUCAAGGGACUCUGGGUUGCAUCAUUUUCCGCUAGACGAUUACUAGCUCCAGGUGGAUCAUCUGCUGAUACAACAGCUAACUUUUCCAUCUCAACAAAAUCAUCCAUCAAACUCAUGUCAGAAGCUCCAACUGUUCUGCUGGAUGGUGUGCCCAUUUGUUUUCCACUUCUUAAUUGCUCCAGCUCCAAUAUGAAAGCAGAAGCCGAAGAUUCAGUACAGCUGGUUUUGUCAUCACUGCCCAUAUCAGACAUGGACGCCACAGAGAAAGUGUGUAGGUAACGCUUGUUCUUCUCUGGUUCUGCUGUCUCGUGUCCUUCAAGCUGUUCCGGUGAUUCAAGUUCACUCAAUCUUUUGUUAAGGGCUUCUUUCAGAGUCCUAUUUUCUUCUUCCAUAAAACACAAUUGCUCAGUCAAGAAACUGAUCCUUUGCCUGAGGGUAUCAGAAGCCAUAUCUGCCGAAAUAUCCAUUGGACUGACUGGAGAAGGGUUGGACUUUCUUCUCCUUGUUUCAGCUUGAUUCCUGCCCAACAUUUCCACUUCAUUCUUCAUUUUUGCCAAGGCAGCAGGGCCUGGCAACCUCUUACGGACAAGGAUGCGUAGGCUUUGGCAUUCUGAUUCCAACUUUGCAAUUUUCUUCACACUUUCAAGAUGUUGCUUGUGUGCAACCUCAGCAGUUCGGCGAUUAAAUUCUCUCUCCUCAUUUCGAAUCUCAAGUUCCUUCUCAAGCACACGAACCUCAUAUUUCAGAGAAACAUUUUCUUUUUCUGUGGAUUCUAGUCUGGUCACGAGGGAACUAAAGUCUACCUCCAUCUGUGUUGUAUGUUUAUGUAAUUCUUCAAUCACUUUUUCCUUAGCCAAGAGUGCCUUGCUGAGCUGACCAUUUUCACCAUCCACUUUGGCAAGUCUUUUAUUGGCCUCCGCUAACUUUUGAUCCAGUACAAAUCUUGUACUUUCGAAUUCUUUUGAUGUUUUCAUAACAGCAUCAUGAAUUCUUUUCUCCUGCUCUUCUCGAACAAAACGUAACUGCAGCAUACAUUCCUUCAGAGCUGCAUCCAGAUGAAGUAACCUUUCUUCAGAAACUGAUCUUUGCUGUAAAGCUUUCUCAAGUUCUUGCUUCAAAGAUAAUGCUUCUGUCUCUGUCUUCUCCCAGCCUAAAUGACUCUUUUAUCAGUGAGCUAGAAAAAUUGCAGUGAAGUAUACAAUACCCAGACUUGUAUGACUGAAGAAUGUACACAGUUGGAAAUCCAAUGGCUAUUAUGAGUGAGCUCACCUGCAAUGGCCUCCUGAGCAAUUUUUGCCUGUUGCUUUGCAAAAUCAUCUUUGUUGUUGCACUCAGAGAUGGCAGAAGAAAGCUUGUGAUUCAAAAUUUUCAGAUCUAGUUCAAGUUGUGCUUUGUCACUCAAAAGUGUCUGCAUAAGCAAAAACUACGUGAUCAGCAAACAGUUUCUUCUUAAAAGAAUAGCUACAGUCCAGGCCCCCAACCAUUCUCUUCUGGAAAGGCAUUAGAUAGGAAAGGUGGGAUAGUCCGCUAAAAUGACUUCAUAGUUCAGAUGCAACACUUAUGAUCAGCAACUGAUUGAGCAUGGGUAACUAAUUGAAUAAGGCAAGUGGAUACUUGCAAAAUACUGUAGCAUCCAGGCCAAGUUCUAUCUACGAAUUUUCCGGUUUGACAUUUUCUCCUGGAUUUAAUCUACAUUAUGCAAGUUAGUUAGUCAAAUAUUAUCACAUGAUCCCCCUAAAAUCUUGCUGAACUACCUGAACUCCCAUGAGACAGAGCUUCUUCUUUUUUUUUUUUCUUUUCCAGCCUAAUAUUAUUGACGACGACUACUAUGAAUAAAGCCUUGACUUUUCAGGCAAAUCUUGAUAGAACAUAAAAGAGGAUAAGUUUUGCAAAAAGUAUAAUCGUUUCUCUCCAACUGUCCCAAGUACAAAAUUAGAUCUUUUGGUCAAACAUAUGCAUUUUGUUAAGCAUCUCGAGGUCGAAUAUAAGCAUUUUGGUAAGCUGCUUGUCCGUCUAGGAGACUAAUGGCGGAUACUUUUAUCAACCAUGAAUUAUUAGGGAUGCUAUAAAAAAUAAUUGAACAGUAAGUCUCAACCUGCUAGUCACCUCUGGCAUGUAUGUAUAAGAGGGGUAGCUACAUCCUAAGGUCAUGAAAUCAAUGUUUUUCUACGAAAAACUUAGAAACUUCAUAGGGCUCUAAAGAUCCAGCUCCCAUUGCACCCCAGAGAAAAAGGAAAUUGUGCCUGGUAUUGUUCUUAAUCAGCAAAUUGAAAGUUAGCAUACAAAGAAUUCCACCAAAGAUUACAGUCACAAGCUUCUUUAUAGGCUAAGGAGGGUUCUUUCCAUAUCUGCCAAUGCUUUGUCUAGCACUUACGUAUUUUAAUACUGCAUAAAUAUAAUGAUCAGAAUGGCUUAUGUGUUUGUUCAAUAUCAUUUGGAUAUACUGAUAUAGGUGAUAGACAAUGACAUGAGAUAGAAGCAAACUAAUCGAAGAAAUCAUGACACAUUUACCUCCUCUUCACCUCUGCUCAAAGAAAGGUUUGUCUUGUCAUCGGAAAUUAUGGUCUUCUCAGUAGAUCUUCUCUUCCAAAGCCAUGAUUUAUGAUCCAUAGUACUUGAUAAAGCGUUCAGCACUGCUAUGGCAUAAGAAAAUGUAUCAAAUUCUGCCCAAAAUGGAGCCUACAACCUCCAUGGUCCAGCAUUACACAAUCAGUUCAAGUUUCAGCUUGUUAAAUAAUUACCUUUCCCAGCAUAAUGAAAGGGUUGAGCACUUGAGUUGAGUUAACUUCCUGGACUAUAUAGACCUGGAAUAAAAAUCUCUAAUCUGCACGAGCAGUAAAACAUUAUAAAGGGGGCGACUGAGAAAAUACAAUCCACAUAUAGUCCUUAUGAACGUUAAAUUUAAAGGUCUACAGAUAUAAGCAAACGAAUAAAUAAAAUGUUGCUCCUUCUAUCAGAAUUGAAGGACAUAAAAUAAAAGGCCGUAGUCACAAAUUAUUGAAGGUCUUCUAGUAACUUUUACUCGUAUCUAAAAGAGGGUAAUUACUAGAAUUCAAUCUUAUUUAGAUGCUAGCAGCUUCAUGUUGUUCUGACCAGAAACAGUUUUCCAACAUUAUUUUCUCUCAAGUAUAAGCAUACGAACCAUUCCAGAAAGCGUAAUUUCCGCGCGGAUGCAAAAAUGUAAGAACAAUUAAAACUCAACAAAGCGCAUUUCAUUAUUUAAAGCAAGUCAGAAUAUCAAACCCCACCACCCCCCCCCCCCAAAUUAUAGCACACAUGCAUCACCCAGCGAAGCAUCACCUUCGCGAAAUAAAAUGUUGCAGAAGCAGUUUUCGUCCAGACUAAUUAAGCACACGUCAAGAAGAUAUAAACUAAACAAGUACCUGAAAACAUGACGCCAACAACAAAAAAAAAAAAAAAAACGUAGUAGUUGAAAAUAACAAGACGCAGAUCAAAUCAAGCUAAGAUUAGAAGAAAAAGGAAAGGUAAUGCCCGAGGCAAAAGACAAAAGUUCCUAUUUUUAUGAAUUUAAGGAACAAAAAAUAAGUGAGAAGCUGCCUAUUUCAUCAAGCACCAUAGAUAGACAAUGUAGAUACUCACGAUUCGUAGCAAUGCGAUCAUCUUAACCAACAACAGUUUCGGAAGAGGAAAGCAUUCGCGAAGAUUGUCAACCAAACUGAAGAAAGUAAAGUAAGUACAAGUGGUUGAGACUUGAGACUUGAGAGAAAGGGAGCAAUGGAGUAAAUAAAUGCACACUUCACUACUUUAUGUAGAGAGAGAGAGAGAGAGAGUACAAGUAAAGCUUGGCGUUUAUUGGUGGCGGUGAGAGGGACAGUCCAGUCCUCUUUAGCUUAGGAUUGAACCGGAAAUGAUGCGGGUCGGUCCGAGGUACCUGGAUGAAGGGUCCAUUUUUAUUUUAUUCUAUUUUUAGCCAACCAACAGUUGUUAUUGUCCUCGACGAAAGAGUUGUAAUUUGACCCUUCAAACGACAAAAUGCCUCCAAACUAGGGUCCAAUUUAGGUAAGUAGAGUACACAACAAAAAUAGCCCAUUUAUCCUACCCGAUUGAAUUACAUAAUAAGAAAAGAGUAGAGAAAGAAAACCAUUUAAACUGAAAAAGGGUGUAGUACAUGUAUAUUGUCUAUAUAUUGGAGAAAGGACUUGUAUUAACUAUCAAAAUAAACGACAGGUCUGCUUUAAACCAAAAAAAAAAAAAAAAAUUUGGCCCGGAGAUGAGAUUAGCCUUUCCACUUUUCAGGGGUGAAGUGGGAUAUUUGGCUACGUUGGGGCGCCAAAAACGAAAUUAACCCAAAGAAGAAGGGCUGUUUUCCGAGGGUUGCUUUGGUCUAACGGACACCGAGAGGGGGAGUCCAUGUCCUUGUCAAUUCUGACAUGAUUCAUGUGUACUGUAUCUGUCCUGAUCAAACCACCAAACUAGUAUUUGAGUAAUUCAUAAAAAGAGAAUACUUUCUCACGUGUAAUUAUUUAAUCAGAUGCUACUAGUUCUAGAGCCACCUUUUCUUUUCUUUUCUUUUUUUCUCGCAACGGGCACAUGUCUAACCUACUCCUAUUCCUAGGGGACGGGGAAGGGGAAUCUAGUCAAUCUACUCUAUGAGAAGACUCAAUUGAGUCGGGAGAACCUGACGGGGACUGAACCACCAUCAAACCAGACAAGUGCACGUACGGAUUUAGAAUAAACCUCAUAUUGAAACACCUUGAUGGGAGGCAAGGUUUGAACCCUUGAACUCUGGAGCAAUCUUUAACUACUAGUAUUCUUUGUCAAAAUUUAUUUGCCUUGCAUCAUCAAACAUUUUUUAAUUAACUUUUUAUUUCAUAUGUAUCAUAUUAAAAAAAUAUUAUUAUUUUUUAAAAAUUAUUUCAAAUAAUUUACUAUUCAAACACACUCAUUAUCCCACGCCUCAAGGAUUUGGGGCAGAGAAGAUUGUCAAAUUAGUCGUUCUUAAACAAAAUGUAACUUUAUCGAAUAAUUUGUAAUUCUACUUGAAUUACUUAUAAAAUUUCACAACAAACAUGCAAUGAUUAUAUAGAAAAUUCACAUUAACAGUAACAGAAUAUCGUACCUUUUACUAUAAAUAUGUACGAGUAGUUAGAAGGAAUUACAAUUUGUACAGAGGGAGUUAUACUGCUCUGGGACAUCAACCGACAACCGUCCUGCCAAGUCCAAGUUUUUAGUUUUGUAACAAAAAAGAGAGCAUUAAGUUGGUGAAAAUAUCCUGUGUCGGUACUGUCACGGUUACCGAAAGACUUUAGAUAAAAUAAUAGAGAAGUGGCGGUUAUGCAAAUAUCUGCAUAUGCGCGUACUUUUAUUGCAAACUGCUUUAUGUAUUCUGAGCUAAAUACUUGCAAACCAGUCUCGUUUUGAUUGGUUAAGCUGUAUAGACUCAUUCUCUUUUUUUUUUUUUAACCCAAUAAUGUAGUAAAUUGUAGUCUAAUUCUUUGAUAGAUACAUAAAGUCGUAAAUUAUAUUUUUCCAAAAAAAAAAGAGUCAUAAAUUACGUACAACUCACACAUGGAAGGUGGGCAAUACUUAUGGUUAAAACAUUGCAGCAUACACUGUCAGUGUAUUAAAUUUAACUCUUACACAUAUGUCAUGAAUCCAACGGUGAUAGUGUAUACACUGUCAGUGUAUAUAAGAUUUACUCUUAAACUAAAGCUUACAGUGUUUCUUAUUUUUUUCCUUUAAUUCAUGCUCUGUUUGGAUUGGCCAUUUUUUGAAAAACAAAUUUUUCAUAUAUAUUAUUAUUGUAAUAUACAAACAAAAACAAUCUAAAAAACACCAAAAAUAACUUUAAAACUGUCAAAAACACAAAAAAAUCUCAAAAACACAAAAAACAACUUUAAAAACACCAAAAACAUAAAAAAACAACCUCAAAAAACACCAAAAACACAAAAAUAACCUAAAAAUAACCUCAUCUAUAGUAAAAGUUUUUCACCUACAUUGCUUACAAUAAAAUAUUUUAAAAACACCCUUAAAAACAGCCAAAUCCAAACGGAGGGCAUAAUUUUUGUUAACCAAUCAAUCGUAGCUUCUCCUAAUUAAUUAAAAAAAAUAGAAUAUGGGUUUAGUCGUCUAGAAGUGCAAUGCGUACACUUGAUAAAGACAAAAAAACAAAGUGCUCACAUUACCAAAUAAAAUAAGUAAAUUGUCUAGUCGGCCACUAAAUUAUUACUUUUGUACACUUUUCACCCUUAAACUAUAUUACUCUAUAUUGUUUAUCCUAUUAAACAAGUUAAUACGUAAGUUUUUAGAGUUUUUUUACCAAUUUUUGCUAUUCGAACUAACUGAGUGGAGGGACAAACCUUCGUGGGAGAAGUAUGGGUUGAAUGGUAUAUGAGAACAGAUAUAAGUGAAGGGUUAUGGAUUCAAGACCUCCUAUUUGCUAUUUAAAGAAAUUAUAUAUAUAUAAAUAUAAAAGAAUGGAGGGACAAACCUUUAAAAAAAAGACAGAGAAAGGACAGACUAGCUAUUGCCUCUUCUUCCUCUCUCCCUCCAUUCACUUAGCUCAAAUAGCAAAAAUUAACAGAAAGGCCAAAAACUUACAUAUUAAUUUGUUUAUGGAUUUAAAUGAUGCAUGAUAUAGUUUAAGGGUUAAAAACGUAUAAAAUAAUAGUUUGGGGAUCGUUGGGCAAUUUACUCCAUAAAAAAAUGAACCUUUUUCUUUAAUUGUUUUUUUUAAAGGAUUGUUGGGGUUUCUUUAAAAGCAUUUAUUUCCCAGCACAUGUGUUACAUCAAGUAACGUUACAUCCGAUUUCAUGAUAGCUUCAACAAACUUGGAUGAGUGUGGCGAUUGAAAUGCUAGGGCCUACUGAUGUGAAAUUCCGCAAUACAUAUCCAUGGUUUGAGAGUUUUUUUUUUUUUUUUUUUUUUGAGCAAUGAUUUGAAAACUUAAAACAGGCUGUGCAGCUGAGCUUUUAAUUAUCAUCAUUAGGCCUCAAGGUUUAGGUCCAAGUAAAAGUUAUGCCAUCAAUUCGACUUUGCUGUUGGUGGUUUGACAAUUGAUUGCCUUUUCGACAGAUGCUUACAACCUUAAUCCAUUGUCAAUGUUUGUUCGCUUCGUUCGUUCUGCUUUUGGAGUCUUCCUUAACCUUUUUUAUCAAUCGCAAUGGUAGUUGACUUUGCAGACGGCCGGGGCCCCUUUUUCUUCCCUUCUUUUGGUGACUCAAAACUUUAUGUGACAAUCUUUUCGCAUGCUUCUGUUCCACUCUUCCGCGAUCCAACGUACCAUUUAGGCAUCUCUCUUUGUAGAAUUUUCUACUUAAGGAUUGUUCUACCACCUUAGUUGAUUAUCAAAUAAGAACCACCUCUGUAUAUAAGUAGUCCAGUCGAUAUUUGUCGAAUAUUGGUACAAAAAUUUAUAUACGUAAUCAAUGAUGCAGUUUAUUGAUGUUGUUCGUAUACGCUGCUCGACUUUAAAAAAAAAAAUAAAAAUUAAGAACCACAUUAUUAGCAAAAUUCAGAACCGAUGUUGUAAAGUAACUUUUCUUCUCUCGUCUGACUGAUUCCUUUCGACAUUUUGUGAGGUAAAUGAUGGAAAAAAAACGUUGCGCGGUAAUUUUCACUGUCACAGGCGAAAAGAACUCAAUGCUUAGCCAACAAAGACCUUGCUGGCAGGGCGGUUGAGUGGCUGGCUGUCUCUCUUGGAUCAACUACUGGGGUUAAAAAUUUUACUGCAAUUCCGGUGAGUUUAGCAAGGAAACAGUAGUAUCUUUUAUUUUCUUUUUUUUUUUUUAUCAGCAACGAUAAUAGUUUGUAUAAUUUAUUCUAGAUUAAUCUAAGAGGAGAAGAGGAGAAAGUCACAAAUAGUGAUCGGUGGGAUGCAAUGAUUGAACCCAUUACCCUUUCCCCGUCCAAAAAAAAAAAAAAAAGUUAGACGGUGAAUUAGUGUGUAAUUAAAUUAGUAGUUGUUGUAGUGUCAGUUCAAAAUGACUCAAUGAGCAUCAUAAAAUAUCUAGAGAAUGUAAGGGUUUUUUGGCACAGAAGACAGGCCAGUGUCUUGCAAAAUUGGAGGACCGCUACAAGAGAGGAAAGCAAACUAAAAUGGAUAAAUCACAUGAAAGCGCUGCAGCCACCGUUUAGUUUUGGGAAAACGACAGUCUAACCAUUCCAAACUGCUAUUUAACUGAUGAAGUAGCAAGCUCUAAGUUACCAUACUUUUUAUUUUCAAUGAAAUCCUACUCUAAACAUGAUUUUCCAAUUCAAGUACGAAUAUUAAUCAGAAAUCAAGAAACCUGAAUAGAGAACCUACCGAGGCAUACAAUAGACAAAUUUGUUGCAGAUAGUUGGGGAAUGUGUUACCUAGUACCCAUCAUCAACCACCUCCCAUUACUCUAGUCAUUUGUUUCAUUCAUUACUCUUACGUUCCCAAUUAUACUUAACAUGUCUUUCCAUAUAUAAAGUACGAGCAUUGCCUUUCCUUUGGUGUUUAAAUUUUUGUUGUCAUUAUUUGUUAUUUCAGUUUUACAUCCAAAUAAGUAAAAAUUUAUAGUGCAUAAAAUCACCACAAACAAACUAAUAGUACUUAUCCAAUUUCAACAACUUCUUGUAACUUCUUUUAUUCUAACUUCUAAUAACCUCCUUUCAAAAAAAAUUCCAAUAACUUGCCUCUCUCUCUCUCUCUCUCUCUGCAAAUUAAACUCUGUAUUAAUUACUUCUAUAUUUACCCAAAAAAAAAAAUCCUACCAUUUUAUUGUGAAAAAGAAACUCUGUUUUCAAUUUGCUCACCCCCUAAAGUGUGCCUCUUCUGCUAGUACAUAAUUAAUUCACUAUUAGUAGACGGGCUGGACUUCGAAGGGGCAAAACCUAUAUUUUUGCUUAACUCAGCCCAAUCUUAUUUACUAAUCGGGCUUGUUGAACAGGCCCAUUUGCAGCUCCCUUAAGAAAUUUAAUAUAUUGUACUAUUUAGAUAUAUUUAGAUUCACGCAUCCUUUGAAUAUACACUAUAUUUUUCUUUCUCCUUUUUCCCCUUUUUUAAGUUCAAGGAAGAUUUUAAAUUGUGUAUAAGGCAAGAAGAAAAGGAAAAGGAGAAGCGUUUAAAAGUCCAAUUAUAGUCAUAUAAUAAUAUGUUCUUAUCGAUGGACUUGGGUUAUGGGAGACUCUUGCAAAAGUAUACGCAAUAGGUUAAUUUACUAAAAUUUUAAAACUGUGUGCCAAGUUUUUUUUAUUAUAUUUGGGAAAAUUGCAUCAUAAACGCGCCAAUUUUUUUUUAGUUAAGAAAGUAUGGUUAAAACAAAGCACCAAAAAUCUAAACCAACCGCCAAAUCUGCCCACGUAAGUGAAAAGUCCCCCGGUAUUUCGUAUAACCAGUCUAAUUUGAACCUUGAUUGAAAUGCUCUGAUUAAAACCCUAAUGCUCUUUAGUUUUCUAAUUCCAUAUUUUUUUUUUGUUUUUUCUCCUAAUUUGUGGGAACAGAUAAAAAAGGCUGGAAAGCAAGCUGAUAUAUCUGAAUUUAAGCAGCAGCUGGAUGCUUUGGGCCUAAAAAUAAUUCAAGUCACUGCAGAUGGUAAUUGUUUCUUCAGGUGUGCGAUAAUUUGAUAAUCUUCUUGGUAUUCUAUUUUUUCCCCUUGUCAGUAUUCCUUUAUUGGUAAUUGUAAUUGUGGUAACUUGAGAAAGUAGUUGCUGUUUGGGCAGAGCAUUAGCGGAUCAAUUGGAAGGCAAUGAGGAAGAGCAUGAGAAAUAUCGGAAUAUGGUAGUCCGUUUUAUAAUGGUAUAGUAUUUUACCGAUGCUUUUAAUUUCUUAAUAUCCAUCGCUUAAAGAAACAAAAUUAAUACUUGAGCGUUGAGUUAGGGCUUGAAAAAUUGCUGGACCUGUUGCUCGAUUGCUUGUUUAGUCUUGUCUUGCUUUUAAAAUUGGACUGAGAACAUUAUGCUUUGACUGCUUUUUUAAACGGUAUCUAAAUGUUUCUCAUCCUAAUCAAGUAGGUCAUUUGGAGAAAUUACACUAAAGAAUUGUUCCAUUUAUGGUUACUUAGGAUACACAAUUUAUGUUUUUGUCAUAUAUUUCGUUCUCAACAGCUCAAACUCAGCUGGUUAUAUUUUUUAUAAGCUAGUAGUUGUAUUAGGCGUUCUCAAUUGCUUUGAAAUUUUCCUUUAAAUGAUUUUAAGCUGAGACUAACUGAAUCUUACGUCGAUAAGGAUGUCAAUAUAAUUUUUUUCAAUUUGUGAGACUCUUUGUUUUUAUAAUGAUGUCAAAUAUCACACUUAUUUUGUGUAUGUUUUGUAGAUUUGGGUUGUUAGUUAGGUAGCAUUCUGUUUAUUUGAUGUUUGAGUAAACCUGCUUUCAUGUUCUUUGGGCAUCUUUAUUGUAGGCUUUUCUUGCUCUGCCUGGUCCACUGUUACAUUCCAUAGGCUCUGAACCUAGAAGUUAUUGUACCUAACUGACUAGUGGAGCUAUAUUUAACAGAAAAAUCGAGAAAUGUUCGAGCCUUUUAUUGAGGAUGAGGUACCAUUUGAUGAAUAUUGUCAGUCAAUGGAAAAGGAUGGGACUUGGGCAGGACAUAUGGAAUUGCAAGCUGCUUCGCUUGUCACUCAUUGUAAUAUAUGCAUUCACCGAGUAAACUCUCUUCUUCUUCCACAGAUUGUUAAAGUUUUUCCAUGACCACAGGCAAUGAAAAAAGUUUACCUACCUUCACUUGAUCUGCAUUUGAGUGGUGCCUUGGGUCAAAGUUGUCACAAGUUAUUUCCUAGUACUUUAUGAGCAGACUUCUGAUUAACCUUCAUGUGUUUUGCAGCAUAUUUCUCCUCGCUGGUACAUACAGAAUUUUGACAAUUGUGAAGCCAAAAUGAUCCAUCUGUAAGCACAUGCAUGAUUUUCAGAUGCUACCUUUGCCCAAUCUAUGCAGGACCUUCAAGACAUUGUUAGCAAAAGUAUUUCUUCGUUUUUUUUUUUUUUUGGUGAGGACUCAAAGGUACUGCUUGUCAAUGUUUCUUGAAUUGGGGAAUAAAUUUAUAGACAAGCCAAUCUCUAUUAUCAAUGCAAACCUGCAAUGUAGAGUGCCUGGGGUUGGAAUUGGUUUUGUUGGGUUUUUAUGCAAAAAGUAUUUUGUUGGUUAUAUAUUCUUCACUUUUCGAAAUAGUCUAUAUCCAGUGCUGAAUAUACUUGGAUUGCGAGGAUGUGCUUUUCUUUACUUUCUGGUUGCACGCAUGAUUGUUGUUCAAGUCUAGAUUAGUAUCUACUCAAUAAGUUUUAUUCAAAGAUUAAUAUAUUUAUUACUAUGCCAAAAAAAUAAUGAUUAAUAUUGACUUGAGUUCCAUCCAAAAAAAAAAAAAAUCUUUUGCCGCCGGACAGUUAAUUUUAACAUAUUAAAUUCAAUCAUGCCAGAAGCAAGUGGCAGGUGACAUGCAUGACAAGUUAAUGAUAAUUAGAUGGAUUCAUAAAGCGCCACAAUCAACAAGUCUUACCAGAGCAAAAAUGUAAGGAGAGAAGAAGUAACUCCUUCGUUACUUAAUCACAUUAUCUGUUAUAAAUUGGUUGGAUGAAAGUUGUUUCUGACAUUAAUCUGUUUAAUUUCUUUGUUGGGGCUUUUACAUUCUGGUAGAAGAAAUUAAGGUCUCUAACUUUUGUGUUUCCUUGCCUUUCUUUCACAUCCUGAUCUCCAUUUGGCUGGCAGCAGUGUGUAAUCCCAACUCUGACCUUGAAGAUUCCAAAAAGCCACUAGUUAGGAUUGUUUUCGUUUUAAUUGUUCCAUUAGGCAUAUCUUCAUUUACUUAUUCCAUGAGAUAACAGAAAACAUGCUUUAUCCAUGUUGAUUGUUGAGAGAUACUUGGUAUCGGCAGCAUAACUUGUGUAUCUGUUUGCAGUUCUUAUCAUGAUGGAGAGCAUUACAACAGUGUCAGAUCAAAGGAUGACACUUGUGCUGGACCAGCAAGGCCAAUUGUAAUCAAGGUUUCUGUCAUUAUCAUCUUUAGUUUCAUUGUUUUUCCUCUGUUAUGAAAAUUCAUAAUUUGAUCCAUAUGACCUGGAUGCCCUUUUUGCUCUGUCUCUUUGACAUCUUUCCUAGAAGUCUGAUAACCUCUAGUAUAUGAAAGGCUGAUGCUGAUCUUUCAGCGACAUCUCAUCACGCAAAAAGUGCCACCACGAAGUCAAUGGGAGACAUUGCUGGUAAUAAUGUUCAGCCAAGGUGUCUUAAAAUGGUCAUGACAGGAAGUGGAUGUGAAGAUGUUGAAAAGGUUAAAAAGGUAAUAAUUGGGAAGAAGUUCUACCUUGUAGCUUUGCGUACUUCAUAAGCAUGCAUUGCCGCUCCUAUCUUGCUUCUACUAAUUACUUUUUAAGUUCAUGGAGCUUCAGGGAAAUCUUUCCCUCCUUCUAAUAUCAGCUAAAACCCAGGUUUUACAAGAAGUAGGUGGCGAUGAUGAUGCUGCAAUUGAGUAUCUAAUAGCUCAACAAAAUUCUGAAGAGAGUUUACAAGAAAAUGUUCAGCUUUAUAUUUCAGAAAACACUGUUCAUGGUAAUGGCCAGUUAGUUCCUUUUUAAUGUAACCCUUCUGAUCAUAUCUUGUAUCCAGCCCAGUAGGCCUCGCAUUUCCGAAAUCCUUUUGUUGUUCUUCUUUUAUUCAGUGUCUGGUCUAAAGCUAUUGCAGCCUUACUUUUAGCAUUAGCUAGUAUUAUUGGGACAGACUUCUGUUUGGCGUAUUGCAUUGAAGUUUUCAAUAUUAUUCAUCCUAAUUUUUACUACUGCACUGCCAAACAGUUCCUCUGUUUGUUGAAUUCACUUGACCUUCCUUCCCUGCCCAAACUUACAAAUACUAAAAGGGAAAAAGGAAGAAGAAAAUGGAUUUAGAAACUUACACAGAUAUCCAUUUUUAACAAGUCAUCUCUCUCCCUUAUACUUUUUCUUUUUCAGUUGGUUUGUCUUAUUAGCUAAGAACCUCCUUUUGUGCUGCACUAUUACAUUUUCACAUGGCCAGGUGAGCAUGACAGUGAAAUACUUGAGCAGCAAAGCAUGCAAAAUGAAAAAAAGACAGGAAAUACACAAAUGACUCAGAUUGAGAAUAGCUUAUCGUUGGAUGACAAGGUUUCAUUACUUUUUGGUUAUAAGAAUUGGGAUUCUUAAUGCUCUCCCUUCUCCUUCUUAUGCUAUAUUUGAAGGGUACAUUUCUUUCCAUUGAUAUUUUUGUAGAAAAUUCCAAGAAACAAGGCAUGCCCUUGUGGUUCAAAAAAGAAAUACAAGUCUUGCUGUGGAUCAGUUGCUGGAAAAUCUUCUGCUAGAUUUUCGGGGUAUGCUUCCUGAAUACCGCUUAAUUAGUUUUUCUGGAUUUUCCUACAAAAUCAAAAUUUUGGGUACUUAAAAGCCAAAAGCCAUAAAUUGGUUCGUGUUAUGAGUUUGGUCAAAGUUGCUUCUUCGAGUUCUAGGAUACUAUGGAGUGCAAUGGCUGCCAUUCUUCCUUUGGAAGUAAAUCAUCAGGCAACUUGGCUCUAGAGGGGAAUCUUGUUACAAUCUAGUUUGGAUGGUUUAUUGCAACAUUAUCAUUACGGAACACUUCAGCAGUCCUGCAAUGUACCUAUUCUGUUUCAGCUGGACUACGUGCACCAUGUUCGUUCUGUUGCAUGCCAUCUUUCAUACUUGAACUUUGACCUUUGGAUGAGUAUUCAUCCCACAACUCUCCAAAAAUUAAUGGAUUUAUGUAUGGUGGUACUAUGUUUGCAGGUAAAUGCGUCAUAUUUGAGAUUGAUAUAUAUGGAAUUCAUUUCAUAGAAGUAAUCGGUAUUUAAAGUUGAAAUAGAAGUCAGUUUAUUAGAGCAAGGCAGAAGGUUUAGUAGAAGUGGAAGUGCAUAUGUGAAAUUUUAGUCUGCCCAGAAAUACACAAGGGAAGAUGCAAGGGGUCUAUAAACUUAAAUCAGGAUGAUUUGAAAACUCAGGCUUAAUCUUUCGCAGGAAUGCUAGACUUGUUGAUUAAAGCAUGUUUAGGCUAGUGAAGAAUGACAUUGGUUUCUUCUGUGAUAUUCAUAUACUUUAAGAACUAAAGAGAAGAUUUUGAAGGACAGCCAUUUCAUUGUGGAGAACACAGCUGGCCAUUGCUUAACUGUUGGGUAUAUAAAGCUUAAUGGACGAAGAGUAUUCAUGAACUCAUAAGUAUAAAAUUGAGCUGAGGACGUGCAACCGGGUGUAAAUAUAUCUAAACUCAGAUGUCAUCCGAAACAUAAUUACAGUAUUUCAAAAUCCAAGGAAAUGAGGAGUGAAAUAUAUUCUUUCCAGGAACUCUUCUUCACCCCUCUCCAUGCAGCAUAAACCUGCCUUUCCUUUCCUAAUGCUGAUCACAUAUUAUCUUUUCAGAAAACAAUCAGUUGAUGAUGGCAAUGAUAGAAAAGACAAAAAGCAACGCAAGAAAGCACCAAAAAAUGUUUUGAAUCAUGAUCGAUCUGAAGGAGGGCUGCCUGAUAUGGGUGCACUUUGCAUAUGAGCUUCUUUUUUCAGGUAUUUUGCCACUGCAUUAUUUCUGUAUGAUGUAAUAGUGUCCGGUAACCUGUGUUGUAUAAUUCAAAAUAUAUUUUGAAUCAUGAUCAAUCUGAAGGAGGGCUACCUGAUACGCGUGCACUUUGCAUAUGAGUUUCUUUUUCAGGUAUUUUGCCACUGCACUAUUUCUGUAUGAUUUAAUAGUGUCCAGUAACCUGUGUUGAAUAAUUCGAAGCGUUAGAGCUAAGCAUGCUGCUCAUGAAAAGAGUCCGUGUGCAUCCAGUUCCAAAUUUUUUGGAGUGUUGAUAUUUCUGAAUGUUAUUGAAGGAUGAUAAUUCCUGAGAGUAUCAUUUGUUCUAUCCAAGGUAUUCCAGCUGCCAGUUUAUUAGAUAUUGCCGACCUUAAAGUUCCAUACAAUCAUUGUAAGAACUCACAUGGGAAUUUGAAAUUUUGUUGAUUUUGGCUGGAUCAGUUUCAGAGGCAGCUUGUAAAAUAUUGCCAUAUGGCCGCGUUCUUUUAAUACCUUCAGCCGUCCCUCGUUUUUAAGCCUUAAACGGUCUGCUAUUGAAAUAACAAAUUUGCUGAUUUUAUUUACUUUUUCGUAUCCAGGUUCAUGAUGCGCUAAUUAAUUGGAAUAACUUGUAAUGCUUUGGGACCUCAGGACCAGUGAUAAUAAAGACUGAAUCUGGAUCACAAGUACCUUCGCUGGACAACAACGUAAGAAAGAGAUUGCUUAGCUGAUAGCGAGAUGUCUAUAGCAUUCCAGCCUUCAGAGGAAAAUGAAUCUAUCCCGCCAUUUGGCCCAAAUUCUGUUUUAUCCUGAUCUAGCCUUCUUCCCAAUGCCAAUAUCGCAUGAUUUUUUAUUUUUAUUUUUUUUGUGGAUUAUCUCACCUGGUAGAUUUCUUAUAUUCGUGAAACGACCUUCCCUCAUCGUUUCAUUUUCCAGGGGUAACAGAUGGUGUUGAAAUCUGAUGCACGGAGUUGAGGUGUACACUUCCUUUUGAGAAAUUUAUUAAACGCUUCUCUUUGCCCAUCUAGAUGGAUUUUAGCAAUUUAGUAGGGAAGAUUACGUGUUGGUUGGUUAAAUUGCUCAAAACCAUCCUUAUAAUGAAUAAUGCCUUUUACAUUGCCCAAAUUCUUUUUCAAAAAACAUUUCUUAGGAAAUUAUUGCGCCCAUAUUAUUAGUUAAGGGAUAGCUUUUGUAGAAAUGGAAAAGGAUAGGAAAAAAGAAGUCAGAACAAGGAAGACUAAAAUUAAAAUUCUUUUUAUACGACAAAAAAAAAAACUCUUGCUAUUAAAAUGGCAAUGACAAAGGGAUUCCCUAAUUAAGAAAGUCUUGGAGUUAAUUUCCGCUACUGGAGUCAAUCGCAGAGAUUUCCGCGGAAGAGAGGAGAAUUGCAAAUUGACAGAUUUAAGAGCCAAAAGAAAGAGAGCGAAAAAUGUCGGGAUUGGAAGACCAAAACGUGCGCAAUUCUAGAAAACCACGUUGUUGUCUGCUCUUAUUUAUGCGGGGUUGAAUAGGUAGCUGACGUUUUCAGUCCAGUGUCGAACUCCAGGGGCAGUAGGCACAAAACAUUGAAGAUUCCUCCAGGCUUUGUCGCAAUCAUUAGACAAUAAAGCAUCGUCCGGUUUCCUUAACUGGAAAUUCGCGGUCAUCUCUGGUUGUUGAAAACUGUUAACAUAUUUGCAAAAGCAGCAAAGACCCAAAGAGAUUAAGAAAGGUAACGAAGCAGUAUACAUUAAUGGAAAUGUUAGUGGACAAGUUGGUUUUUAGGAAUGUGAUAAAUCAUCAGAGAUCUACACCUACCGGAAUGUGUUUUUUUCCUUUUUUUUUUUUUGUGGGCUUGGGGUUUUUUUUUGGGGGGGGGGGGGGGGGGGGUGGGGUUUGCCAUUAUGAGCAUGGAGGUGGAGCAGGUGGUGGAGGCCGAGCAAAAGAAAGUCAUGAAGACGGGGCGUAGUAUCAAUAGUUGUAUAUGAGAAGGCUAAAACAACCCUAAAAACUCUUGAAAUAAUUAUAUGAUUUUUCUUCUCUUAAACUUCUUCAUUAGCCAUUUAAUCCUUGCCAAAGUGAUAGAUAUUGGUUGAAAGAUAUAUGUUCUAAUCUUUUCUUUGACCUUUUCAUUUUUUUCCUUAGAGCGUACCAGGAGAGGGAAAAAGGGUAAACCCCAUAACCCAAAAAAAAAAUAAAAAAUAAAAAAUAGAGAAUAAGCAAGAGAAAUGGGAAUAAUAAAAAGAAAAGGCCAAUAUAUUAGGGGCAUUUUUCUCAAUAAAGAUUCGCAUUGCACUCAAAAGAAGAUUGUGACAAUGUAUCCCAAUUCAAAUGGUAAGAUAGUUCACCUGGAAUUGCAUGACAAGAGUGAGGAAGACCUUCUUGAUUAAGAAAAUCAGCCCUUCACUUCACGGCUAGAAAAGUGAAAGAUGUAGUAUUUGGUACUGUUAACUAUGAAAGGCGGUUUGUUUGGAUUGCCCUUUAUUUCCCAAAAUAUAUUUGUUUACAUCAUCAUUACAGUUUCCAAUACACCUUUUUACCUUCCCAAUUACCUUUUCAUCUCACAUACAUCACAUCACAAAAAGUGCUACAGUAAAAAUAUCUCAAAUAACUUACAAUCCAAACAAAGUCGAUUUUUCCUUUUUUUUGGGGGGUGCGCCUUUGUUGCCUUAUUGUACGUAACAAAUUUAUUAGCAAAAAAGAAAAGAAAAUACAUGAGUGUCAUUCCUUUUACAUAUAUUAGUCAAUAAGGGAAACCUAUUUUACAAUUGUCAUUAAGUUUCUAUUUGCUACAUAAAUUCAAAAAAAAAAAAAAAAAAAGAACUGCUCCACAUAUUACUGAAGCUUGAAUCUACAACCUCUCCGCUUGCCUCGACAACCUCAUCUUUGCGAAACAUUUGAUCAAGUGUAACACAUGCUACGUAAACCACUAAGUUGAUAAUGCAGCUAUGCAUAUUUGUUUUUUUUUUCUUCCCUAAAGAAAGGAAGAUGUAGAAUUUAAAAAAUUAAAUUUCUGGAGUUUUAAUCUUAAACACUAGACUGAAACUUUUUCAACAAUAAUCAUGUUAUAAAUUAUUGUGGGAAAAAAAAAAACCCCCCAUGAAAUGGGGACCAUGUAUGGGGGCAUAUAUGAUAAUGAAGGUGAAGGAAAUCGACAGAGAAGGAAGGAGGCGAGGGUUUACCUAACGGGGACAGUAUGGAUCUUAUCGUCAGCUGCCUUUCUCGUUUCUACCAUCUAACAUUAACACCACGACCACGCAAAGGGAAGGAAUGGUUAGAAUGAUAAGCAUCGUCGUGGCCACUCAAAAACCCCAUAGAUAUAAUUUUAUAUACAUCAAUUGUCGUCAAUCUUUCCAAACAUGGAAAGUCCAGGAAACAAACGUCGGAUGGGAACGAAUACUAGCUACGACAAAACAAGAAUACCUCCCCAGUCCUUUCCCACCUCCCAUCUUUUUCCUUGAUUAUUUUCCCCAUUUAUAUUCGCUCUCAUGACUCAUCUCAUCUGUCCUCCAUUUUCUAAAAGUUAAGCUUUUCAGUCACAAUCAAGCUUAUGAGCACAUCCAUCCUUCUCUCUCCCAAAAAAAGAAAGAAAGAAACAAACGUAAAUAAAUAAAUAAACCACAUCUAUCCUCAUCGCCUCGAUUUGUAGCUCUCCACACAGUUAGCAUUAUCAAACAACCAUUACUUGAGCAGAGCCACCCUUUCAUUCUCUUUUGUCUUCCAGUAAUAAUUAUAUGGCACUGCUGUUGAUUAAAAUCGCAGCACUACGUGAAUACGAAGAACAAACGUGCCAUGUAUAGGCCGUAACAGCCUUUGCCAGCUCAACGGAUUGCUACAUUUCAAAGUAAAAUUUUACGUUGUACACGUUUCUAAAUCACAUUUUAAUCUUAUAUAUAUAUAUAUAUAUAUAUAUAUAUAUAUAUACAUAUUAAAAUUCUUAGAAACAGCCAUCUAAACAGGACUUUGAAGUUUGUUGUUACGCGAGGCUUGUACCUUUUUUAACUGUUUAAGAAUUAAUACUACGUAUACAAUGUAAUAUUGGUCCGAAUUCAGAAAUCCUGGGCUCAUUCAUGAUUCACCUCUAGCUCUUUUAAGUUUUAACUGGUAUCGGUUAGCAGCACCAAUACGUGAGUUUCAAGUUUCUUGUCUCCUCGUCCUCGGGAAUCUUGAUUCAUUCAUUCAGAGGUUUCGAGUUCGAGUUUAGCUUUGAAAAGUGAUAGCACUAUUCAGUGUAAUUGCAAAUUUAGAAAAGGUCACGUUUUAAUUACUUGAGCAAUAGACUCGAUAGCGUGAGAGUUUUGAGUUUUCGAACUUUGCACUAAAUAAAUACUACCAGAAACUCACCCCCGUCUUAGAAUAGACGCCAUCUCUCGGGACCCUUGAGAUGCUAUGUGAAUGUGAUUUCUGUAAAUCAAAAGAUGUACUUACUAGUAGUAAUGAAAAUCAACACAAAGAACGAAACUAGUAGUACUUUUUUUACACGUGUCGGAUAAGCUGCAGGCUGAGAAAGACAGCGAGUACGUAGAUGUAAAUGUAAUCAGGUUUCGGGCCGGGUUAACCUGUUCAUUUUCCGUCUGUGUCGAUCUCCAUGUUCAAUAGUAUGAAGAUGAGCAGAAACUAGCUAGCUUAGCUUUGUAUAUAAUUGGAUUAGGGACAUUUUUAUUAAACGAAUAUUUACUGCACAAGUGCUUGAAGACGCGCGCACUGCUUUCCCGCUGCACCAGAAGAAUCGUUCCAUUAUAUACUUAUUCUGAUUCUCAGCACUUCGUCGGCUAAACCGACAGAACAGCAAGCUUUUCCCGGUGAAUCGAAACGUGGACUGUGUCUUUAAAGUUUCAACCUAGCGGUAAAGGGAAAUGGCCAAGAAUCUACGACCUCUCGAAUUUUGUCGAGAGGGAAAGUCCAAGGUUUAACCAUGUUCUUGCUAAGGAUGAGGUUAAAAAGUAUCCUAUUCCUGCACAUGCAUAUGCUAUUCCAACUUUCUUUUGCUAUGUUAAAAAGAGUGGUAAUUUGCACCACCAGAGACAAACAUUAUUGCGAAAGCUUACUGUAUGUCACAUCGUACAUGCAUAUAUAUAUAUAUAUAUAAUAUUGUAAUUGUGUGUGGUUAUUUCUUUCGAAAUUUGCUUUCUUAAUCCUACGAGACCUGACAAAUUUUCUAAGCCGUGCAUUAGUUGCAUUCUUACGAAAGUCUCAACAGCCUUUUUAACUCAUUCCUACGACGUAAUAAUCCUGCAGCACUACCAAAUUUACUCCCAACAAAUUAAUCGUGCGCACACUAAGUCAAUCCUCCCCCCUGUGUGUCCUCCACUAAAUACAAGGGACUCGUGUUGUUCCUCAAUCUAUUUAUAGAUUAUUAAUUAUGUAGGCACUUGAAAAGGGUUGGAUUGGAUGAAAAAAAAAAAAAAAAAGAAAGAACUAUAACUAAAUAAGACCGUCGUCCCGAGUUCAAGCCAUCUCACUUACCUAAAACAAAUAAACUCAAUAAUAUAAAUAAAUAUACAUAUGUCGGCAUCUAAGUUUUGAAAAAAUGAAAACACGGAACAAAUAGGCAGUUGGCACGGGUGGUGGAGGCCUAUGCUUUGUUCCUUCAUCUAGCUGUAAGCUUGGGCCGGAUGGACGGGUGGAGUGCUGUGGAUAGAAAAGAAAAGCCUAGGGACCAGCAGAAAGUGGCAACUGGUAGCUUUUAAACUCUGUGACGUCCGGAGCUGGGAGACAUGACAAAUUGCGUCGUAGUAGCCGGUGUGGCGAGUUGAGUGGGGAAUUGGGGACGGCAGGCGCAGUAAACACGAGAAUAGACCCAAUCACAGGUUACCACAAAAAAGCAUGCAACAUCACGGUGUUGUAUGCACUUUGAAUGCGUUUCGGGCCAAAUAACAAGUAUCUGUAGUAAGCGAAUCGUUUUCUUUUUUUGAGAGUGCAAAAUUAUUCCUCCGGUUAUGGUCCUCUACCAAACUUAAAACUAAGACGUGUCCUAGGACAAAUAUAUAAUUCUUUUCAUCCAUGGCCACGUUCCAGAAUAUUUUCACCCACAAAAUCAACCCUCCGUCUAAAAAAAUUUCAAUCCUGCUAUCUCAGCCGUCUAAACAAAAUUUCAAUCCUGCCAGAAGAAGAUGGGAAGAUACUCUAAAUUAGGGAUGUUAAUUAUGAUUAAAUCUGCACAUGACAGUUCCCUUCCAUUCUUUAAUUCUUCGAAACUGUUUCUUCUGAUAGUGCAAUUGAGAACAAAUGAAAACAUACAAAGGACCACCUUCGGUGAAUAGGGACUUGUCUUACACUUAUGCAUAUGCUCUGCUCCCAUGAUUCCAUUGAAAUGGUUGGUUCUUUAUCAAAAGAAAAAAAAAAUUUGAAAAUGAGAUUAUAUUCAGCUGCCAUGGCAUUGUUACACUGGAAACAGUUUUCAACCGUUAAAAAAGAACUUCUAAAUUGGGAAACAGCCAUCUUAAAUGUGCGCAAAGAAAUCUAGACAACGCAUGCCACCUUGCCUUAUUUGAUUGAUUCCUUCGCUUUCAUACAUCUGUCUUUCUUUAUUGUUUUCCACCAACUCCAAACCGGGCCUCCACAUGUGACUUGUGACCCAUACAAUGAUGCAAUCGCGAAUUAAACAAAACGAUGACCAUGGAAAUUAAUCGCGGGAUGUUUCGUUAAGAAUCUAAGGAAGGAAGCUGGUCCUGAGCCUCACCGACCCUGUUGCAUACAAUCUCGAAAACUCUCUGCAGUGCGAGUCUGCUGUCUUCAUACGUUGGCCUAUAGUAAUAGCAGCAUUAAUUGUUGUGUUCCCAGACACGAGCCACGGUUUUGAGUUUCUUGGACUACUUAACCUUUUAAGGCGCGCGGUAUAUACUUGGGGAAUACACAGAUUUUGGACCGCCCGGGAUGAUAAAGCUUUUCUUCUUCUUUCUCUUGAUUGUUUCAAGAGGAGAUGGAGGAAGAGGAAGAAGAGGUUAAUGCAAGUUAGAUACAGUGAAUGAGCCUUUUAUGUUUUUAACCCCGAGCUUGCUGGGAUUUAAUUUCAGUUAUCGGCCAACAAAUACGUACAGACAGGGAUCAUGGCACGGGUCAUGAAACUAUGACGGUCCAUAAACAAGCUGCGUUGCAAAAUAUUUGAAGAGGAUGCGGUAUCCAACUGUUUCUUUUAGGACUAAUUCCAUUUUGCACCUUAGAACUUGUACCACUUUUCGCUUUGCAUUCUAAAUUUCAAUUUUGAACACUUUGUACCCUAAAUAUCACGUGAUUAAGGGCUGUGUAAAUUGAUUUGAUGACAGUGUACAAUUUUGUUUUGGUUGCGGUCCCUCAGCUCCUUUUGACACUUUCAAUAUAUCGUUCUUGAUUUGUAUAUUUUAAAUCAUUAAUGUUGUUAGAAAAAUUAACAAAACAAAAGGAUAGUGUAAAUUAAUGAUAAUGUAUUAUUUCUUCUAAUUGUAAUACAUUGACUCCUUUGAUAUGAAUGGCAACGCCGAUGGGGUGCCUGUGGGAGGAGUCAAUUUUUAUAAUUUGUAUAAUCAAAAUGAUUAUUUGGUUAUUUUUAGUUUACGUCAAUUUUUUUUUUUACAUGUUGUAAGUUGGUUAAACAAAUAUGAUGAUUAUGAGUUUAGAUUUGUUAUUAAAAAUAGAGAAAUGAAUUAAAAGUGAUUUUUAUCCUUGAUUUCACAUUAGAUAUUUAGUUAAGAAUCUAAAAAAGUGAUUUAUAAUGUUGUUGUUGUUGUUAUAUAUAUAUAUAUAAAACAAUAAUGUCAAAACAAAAAAAUAUAAUUACACAACCUUAGGGCACUCCAAGGGGUUAUGGAGCGGGGCAGGGGCAGAAAAAACGGAGGAUGAGGCGAGAGUGGAGAGAGAUUUUAGAGCACAGGGCGGAGAAGAGGGGAGGGAUCCCUCGCUUUACUCCUGACCCCAUUGUUAUCCCUAUCCUAUGAUCACUUUUUAACACAUUAUCAUUGAUUUGUAUGAUCCUUUACGCCGUUAAUUUUAUCAACACGGUAAUUGAUUAGAUUUAAAUUGAAAAAUUUUGAGAGUUUAGAAUGUAAAGUGUCGAAAAUUAACAGUUUAAGAUGUGAAGCAUCCAAAAUUGCAGUUUAUGGCAUAAAGUGAUACAAGUUUGAUGGUAUAAAAUAGAACUAGUCCCUUCUUCGGUGAUACGGCCGUUUUAUUUUUAUUUGUACGAUAGAAAUGAAAUUUUAAGUACGGGGUGUGUACGUGGAAGGGGAGUACCCUAUAAUAUAGUGCCAGUCCCGUGUACCUAACAUUUGGAAGGAAGCCUUUGCCCUUUGUCUCGGCGGUGGACACCUUAUUGGUUUUGUGCGCUCAAAAAGCAAUGGACAAAAGCAGAUUCAUACAACAGAAUGGUUUAUAUAUAUAUAUAUAUAAUAAAAAAUAAAAAACUUCAAACCAAAACAAAACAAAA